Molecule: ribosomal RNA, 873 nt
Filed under: Triticum aestivum (bread wheat)
Lineage: Eukaryota; Viridiplantae; Streptophyta; Magnoliopsida; Poales; Poaceae
Description: partial small subunit ribosomal RNA
Source: RNAcentral
AUGGCCGCCGCCGCGUUGGGUGACGUUGAUGAUCUCGACUUCGACCUGGGUUUUAUCGACGGGCUCGAGUGCUUCGACUUCGAGUUCGACCUGCCGGACAUGGGCCUCACCGAGUUGUGCCACGGCGGCGACGGCGAGUGCUUGCUGCCCGCCGUGGCCGAUAAGGAGGGCGGUUUGGGUUUGGAUCUGGGUUCUCGUGAUGGUGGCGACGGCGGGAGAGAGAGCUCGCCGGACUCCGUGGUGACGGACGACGGCGCGCCGCCUCUGUCGUUAGAGUCGUCUGGGGAUCGCGACGAUGGCGAGAUGUCGGCCUACGUGGGCGACCUGGAGAGGUUCCUCAUGGAGAGCGAGGAUGACGCCGAGGCCGGCGGGCCGUUCGCGGCCAAGGGGCUUGCCGCCAACGACCACUUGUUCGACGAUCUCGCUGUUGCGGACGACGGUUACGUCGAGCCGUCCACUGCAGCGGAAGAGUUUGCCGCCGCCGGCUACUACUACUUCGGUGAUCUCGACGACGGUUACGCGGAGCCGGCGACUCCAGGGAAGGAUCUCGUCCUCGACGACUACUUGUUCGGCGAUCCCGUUGUUGCGGGCGACGGUUACAUCGAGCCGUACACUGCAGGGGAGGAUCUGGUCUCCGACGACUACUUCUACGAUGUUGCUGCUGUGGACGAUGCUGCUCGCGAGGACGACGACGAAGCGACCUCGAGGAAGCGUGCAAGGCAGAGGAAGGGCGCCGCUGCGGUGCCACGUGAAGCAGAGCUCCGGGGAACGCCGGUGAUGCAUGCCAUCUCGUCGAUCUCGACUGGAAACGGGUGCCGCCCCAUUGGUCACCAUUGGCUGCAUCCCUGCGCCACAGUGUGCCUAUUGGCCUGA